GUGUCAGCCGCCGCGGUAAUACGUAGGGGGCGAGCGUUGUCCGGAUUUACUGGGCGUAAAGAGCGCGUAGGCGGCGGAGUUUGUCGCGGGUGAAAUCUCCUUGCUUAACGAGGAAAAGUCUCGCGAAACGGCUCUGCUACGAGGGCGGUAGAGGAAGGUGGAAUUCCGGGUGUAGUGGUGAAAUGCGUAGAGAUCCGGAGGAACACCGGUGGCGAAGGCGGCCUUCUGGGCCGGCCCUGACGCUGAGGCGCGAAAGCGUGGGGAGCGAACUGAAUUAGAUACUCAGGUAGUCCACGCCCUAAACGAUGGACACUAGGUGUGGGGGGUAUCGACCCCUCCCGUGCCGCAGCUAACGCAGUAAGUGUCCCGCCUGGGGAGUACGGCCGCAAGGCUAAA
Molecule: ribosomal RNA, 396 nt
Filed under: uncultured bacterium
Lineage: Bacteria
Description: bacterial SSU rRNA
Rfam family: Bacterial small subunit ribosomal RNA
Source: RNAcentral